This 22-nucleotide non-coding RNA is filed under the name Mus musculus (house mouse). The record is from RNAcentral. Lineage: Eukaryota; Metazoa; Chordata; Mammalia; Rodentia; Muridae.
GUUGUUCUACCUAUAGGGUUGC